UAAUGCCAUUGCUAAAAUAACAAAUAUAGCUACCUGAGACUUUGAUGGUAAUUGCUGCGACACUUUUUUGGAUCCCUUGGCAGCUGCUUGAUGACUAGCAAGGUCGUCAAAAAUGCUAUCCAAUGACCACAGCACAAAGGACCCNNNNNNNNNGAUCGCUGGCCAAGCCAAUCCACAGCUAUCUUGUAAACAUCUUCAGAUAUAUGAGAAAGAGGAAUAUCAACGAACUUAGACACUGAGGCCUCUCUGAAG
RNAcentral lists this unclassified non-coding RNA (252 nucleotides) under Hevea brasiliensis (rubber tree). The record is from RNAcentral. Lineage: Eukaryota; Viridiplantae; Streptophyta; Magnoliopsida; Malpighiales; Euphorbiaceae.